UACGUAGGGGGCAAGCGUUAUCCGGAUUUACUGGGUGUAAUGGGAGCGUAGACGGUUAUGCAAGUCAGAAGUGAAAGCCCAAAGCUCAACUUCGGGACUGCUUUUGAAACUGUGUAACUAGAGUGCAGGAGGGGUAAGCGGAAUUCCUAGUGUAGCGGUGAAAUGCGUAGAUAUUAGGAGGAACACCGGCGGCGAAGGCGGCUUACUGGACUGUAACUGACGUUGAGGCUCGAAAGCGUGGGGAGCAAACAGG
RNAcentral lists this ribosomal RNA (253 nucleotides) under uncultured bacterium. RNAcentral's name for it is "partial 16S ribosomal RNA". It matches the Rfam family "Bacterial small subunit ribosomal RNA", at positions 524 to 776 of the family's 1533-position model. The record is from RNAcentral.